UCGAACGAGAAUCUGGAGGUUCAAGUUUCGGACAAGAACUUUCGGAGGAAAGUGGCGGAAGGGUGAGUACAACAUGGAUAAUCUACCUUCAAGUUGGGUAUAGCUUCCCGAAAAGGGGAGAUAAUCCCGAAUGUGGUGAUCCCGGCGCCUGUCGGAGAAUCCAAAGUGGGGACCGCAAGGCCUGCCGCUUGAAGAUGAGUCCGUGCACUAUCAGCUAGUUGGUGAGGUAAUGGCUCACCAAGGCGAUGACGGUUAGCUGGUCUGAGAGGAUGGUCAGCCACACUGGGACUGAGAUACUGCCCAGACUCCUACGGGAGGCUGCAGUCGAGAAUCAUUCGCAAUGGGCGCAAGCCUGACGGUGCGACGUCGCGUGGAGGAUGAAGGUCUUCGGAUUGUAAACUCCUGUCAUGUGGGAUAAAUGGCCAGGGCAUGAAUAGUGCCUUGGAAUGAUAGUACCACAGGAGGAAGGGACGGCUAACUCUGUG
Molecule: ribosomal RNA, 485 nt
Filed under: uncultured bacterium
Lineage: Bacteria
Description: bacterial SSU rRNA
Rfam family: Bacterial small subunit ribosomal RNA
Source: RNAcentral